CAGUAGCCGCGGUAAUACGAAGGGGGCUAGCGUUGUUCGGAUUUACUGGGCGUAAAGGGCGCGUAGGCGGACUGAUAAGUCAGGGGUGAAAUCCCAAGGCUCAACCUUGGAACUGCCUUUGAUACUGUUUAUCUUGAGUUCGAGAGAGGUAAGUGGAACUGCGAGUGUAGAGGUGAAAUUCGUAGAUAUUCGCAAGAACACCAGUGGCGAAGGCGGCUUACUGGCUCGAAACUGACGCUGAGGCGCGAAAGCGUGGGGAGCAAACAGGAUUAGAUACCCCUGUAGUCCCUGUCUCUUAUAC
This 301-nucleotide ribosomal RNA is filed under the name uncultured bacterium. RNAcentral describes it as "partial 16S ribosomal RNA". It matches the Rfam family "Bacterial small subunit ribosomal RNA", at positions 509 to 807 of the family's 1533-position model. The record is from RNAcentral.